GACGAACGCUGGCGGCGUGCUUAACACAUGCAAGUCGAACGGAAAGGCCCUGCAUCUGUGGGGUGCUCGAGUGGCGAACGGGUGAGUAACACGUGAGUAACCUGCCCUUGACUUUGGGAUAACUUCAGGAAACUGGGGCUAAUACCGGAUAGGAGCUCCUGCUGCAUGGUGGGGGUUGGAAAGUUUCGGCGGCUGGGGAUGGACGCGCGGCUUAUCAGCUUGUUGGUGGGGUAGUGGCUUACCAAGGCUUUGACGGGUAGCCGGCCUGAGAGGGUGACCGGCCACAUUGGGACAGAGAUACGGCCCGUACUCAUACGGGAGGAAGCGGUGGAGAUUAUUGCACAAUGGGCGGAAUCCGGAUGGAGCAACUCCGCGUGCUGGAUGACUGCCUUCGGGUUGUAAACGGCUUUCGGCGGUGACGAAGCGUGAGUGACGGUAAUGGGUAAGGAAGCACCGGCUAACUACGUG
Molecule: ribosomal RNA, 468 nt
Filed under: uncultured bacterium
Lineage: Bacteria
Description: partial 16S ribosomal RNA
Rfam family: Bacterial small subunit ribosomal RNA
Source: RNAcentral